AAGACCUUGCGCUUUUGGAGCGGCCGAUGUCUGAUUAGCUAGUUGGUAGGGUAAUGGCCUACCAAAGCUUCGAUCAGUAGCUGGUCUGAGAGGACGACCGGCCACACUGGGACUGAGACACGGCCCAGACUCCUACGGGAGGCAGCAGUGGGGAAUUUUGGACAAUGGGCGCAAGCCUGAUCCAGCCAUGCCGCGUGAGUGAAGAAGGCCUUCGGGUUGUAAAGCUCUUUCAGCCGGGAAGAAAAGGCUACGACGAAUAAUCGUAGCUCAUGACGGUACCGGAAGAAGAAGCACCGGCUAACUACGUGCCAGCAGCCGCGGUAAUACGUAGGGUGCGAGCGUUAAUCGGAAUUACUGGGCGUAAAGGGUGCGCAGGCGGUUUUGUAAGUCAGAUGUGAAAUCCCCGGGCUUAACCUGGGAACU
RNAcentral lists this ribosomal RNA (423 nucleotides) under uncultured bacterium. Its description in RNAcentral is "bacterial SSU rRNA". It matches the Rfam family "Bacterial small subunit ribosomal RNA", at positions 207 to 622 of the family's 1533-position model. The record is from RNAcentral.